GAAGAUAUUAAUUAACUUUCAUUAGAGAAAAUGCGGGUCCCAUAAAGUAAGCUGACAAAACCAUGAAGAUUAUUUCCUUACCUUUGUUCUACUGGAAUGUUAGAGAUGGAGAAGGAAAUACUUGCUCCCAAGAAGCAGAAACUGAACUCUUUCAAAAGUUUGUAAUGUAAGAUAUUGUCUCGCUUUUACAGUGGUUGGUUGAAGCUUGUUU
RNAcentral lists this long non-coding RNA (211 nucleotides) under Cyanistes caeruleus (blue tit). RNAcentral's name for it is "lncRNA (ENSCCEG00000014809.1)". Lineage: Eukaryota; Metazoa; Chordata; Aves; Passeriformes; Paridae. The record is from RNAcentral.